UAGAUGGCAUGCAAUAACAAUAACCCGCAACUAAGGUCCAAACAAUGGGAAACAGUAAGAUUAGUAUGAACUCUACAUUAGACACAAGCCGUCUAAGACCAUCCUACACAAACUCGCUUCGCAUUUGGUGGUCGAAUAUGCAUUUGGUGUUUGUAUGAAAAUGGUGGUCCAAUAUGUAUUUGGUGUUUUUUUCUAGUUUCUUUAUGUGAUGUCAUGUUGACUUUACUCUUUUAUUGCCAAAUAAGGGUUAAGAGAACAUGUUGUGUU
Molecule: long non-coding RNA, 267 nt
Filed under: Nicotiana benthamiana
Lineage: Eukaryota; Viridiplantae; Streptophyta; Magnoliopsida; Solanales; Solanaceae
Description: long non-coding RNA (NBEN_LNC029849)
Source: RNAcentral